UAAAUAAUUUUUGUAGCGUAAAAGCUAAAUAAAUUCAUACAUACUAUAAUACAAAUAACCAAAGUAUAAAAUUUAAUUUACAGUGACAAGUUGGCCCACGAACGACCAAAAGUAUCAAAAGCGGUAAACCUACAGUUUUUGAGGAUGCAAGUCCAACUGUAGCCCUCAACAAAGUAAGCUAUCUACCGACUAUCCUAAGCCUGAAAUGGGUGGAAAGGAGGGUGGUGAGAUUAUAUAAUCCCAGUGAGUAAACAAAUACCAUCUAAAAUAUCUAAAGCUGAGUAAAUUGAGACAGAUAAAAUAGAUUAGCAUAAAUAUGAUUCACAGCAUUUCGAACUCAUUUUAAUAAGAUAAAAUAGAUUCAUUUCACCAAAAUAAACAACGAGGCUUAUGAUUUCCUGAAAAGUUUGGCUCGUGCCAAAAUCAUUCUCAUACUCAGUUAUUAGGGAUACCUUGAUCGAGGGCUAUCCCAAUCGAGUCUGCCAAGGCUGUUAAAAAGUUAUGUAUGCAUAAAUCAUGUUUUUAUUUUGAAAAUAUAGUCGUUCCUUGGCCUUGGCUGAGUUCAUCCUCAUGUAGUGGUUUGGCUUGAAGUGAACUCUAAAGUUUUAACCUUAAGAGUUAUCCAACUGUGCCUCUCAUACUGAGGUAUGAAUAUAAUAGGUUUACCGUGCCCCUCAAAUAGGCUGAUCCACGGAACCCAUCCACUACAACGACCAAUUUAUAACCCACAAAUUCAAUAAAAUUCAAUAGCAUGACAUGGCAAUUUUAUCAUUAUCUAGCCUAUCAAUGCAAACAACAGUUUAUACCUUUUCAACACAAAUGCUAAUUCAGCCAUUCAUGCCAAUAUUGCCAUAAGCCAAUCAAUUAGAACUAUAAAUUCACAAUACAUCAAAUGGUCUCCAAUUACUCUAUUUUCAAAGCCAUCAUUCAAUUUCAAGACAAUUUACAAAAUCAUUUCAUUUAAACACAUUUUGUUUAUAAAACAUAAAGAUUUACCAUUUAAACUCAUUUUUCUACCAAAUCACAAAAACAAUUAAAAACUACUUUAGAUAAUUAAGACGAUGUAAGGUUACUUACUGUAAUGGGAAUCGAAUUCUGAGUACUUCGAUUCUUGAUCCUCGGG
This 1123-nucleotide long non-coding RNA is filed under the name Theobroma cacao (cacao). RNAcentral's name for it is "long non-coding RNA (TCAC_LNC002478)". Lineage: Eukaryota; Viridiplantae; Streptophyta; Magnoliopsida; Malvales; Malvaceae. The record is from RNAcentral.